RNAcentral lists this ribosomal RNA (248 nucleotides) under uncultured bacterium. RNAcentral describes it as "partial 16S ribosomal RNA". It matches the Rfam family "Bacterial small subunit ribosomal RNA", at positions 87 to 334 of the family's 1533-position model. The record is from RNAcentral.
AAUGGCGACCGGCGCACGGGUGAGUAACGCGUAUGCAACUUACCUAUCAGAGGGGGAUAGCCCGGCGAAAGUCGGAUUAAUACCCCAUAAAACAGGGGUCCCGCAUGGGAAUAUUUGUUAAAGAUUCAUCGCUGAUAGAUAGGCAUGCGUUCCAUUAGGCAGUUGGCGGGGUAACGGCCCACCAAACCGACGAUGGAUAGGGGUUCUGAGAGGAAGGUCCCCCACAUUGGUACUGAGACACGGACCAA